UGACCAAUAUUUAGGAAAAUAAAUACUACAUCCACUGAGAUUUUACGCUACACAGAUCAGAGCUCUGAUAAAACUCAUUGACCAGCAUUUUCUCACCAUCUGUGCAUGACUAAUUUACUCCACUGGUCAUUUCAGAUCAGGCUGUUCCAUGUGAUUAUUUUGGGGAGAGAUAAAAUUAUAAAUUUCAUGCAGAAUGUGUCUAGAAGGACAUUGCAAUCUUUUUUGUACAAAAAUUUGUAAUGAUCUUUAAAAUCUAUAUAUCUAUUAGCUAUUUGAUAUUUUCUUUUAGGCUCAAAGAAUAAAAGUUAAAAUGAUGAGUAGAUUAACCCUGCUUUACAUAAUGAUAGACCUGUCCAGUAACUGUUGUAAAUUUUGAAUUCUAAGAUAUCUGGGCCAGCAAUGAGUGCAAAUUAUAGAGGUUGUACUUGAUAUUUUAGCAGUUUUGGAGAUAUUGUUUUGUUUAAGACUUUAAAGUGUUUAAGUAAUUAGAAUCACCUGGGACAAAGAGAUAUACAACAGAAUCAGGUAUUUAUAAACCUUUAAGUUACAUCAAUGCAGAAACAGGUUAUAUAUCAAACUAUCAACAUUUGUAACAAGAGAUCAAGGUUGUUUUUAUAUUUUCAACUUCAUGCAUUUGUUUUUCUGACAAUUGUUUUUAAUCUAUACAUGUAUAAUCUGUAAAAUAUAAAUUAUUCAAUGAUUUCUUUAUAAUGUAUAUUGUUAAAAUGACAAUUGUUAGUAGAUCUUUUUCAUUUCCUACAAAAAAAAACAAAUUAAAUCAAUUUGAUUAAAUAGGACUAAAUGGUACAAUCAGUAGUUUUGUACAGCUGAACAGGGUCAUCAUAUGAUAAUCAUUUGUUAUUUACAUGUAUGUGUUGUGUUUUCAAUGAUUACAUUUUACAUUAUACAAUUACAUAACUUGCAGGCUUGGACAUAAGUGUUGACUGAGAGAAUUACCAACAGUGUUUAAUAAUGAUGUGCAGUAUUAAUCCUGAAAAGGUGAGCACAACCACAAGAAGUUCUAGGAAACACAGGCAGAGGACUGAAAAUGGACAUCAAUAAAAGAAAUAGUAAUUUAAAUAAUCAGAAACACUUGAAACAAAUUUAAGAUUAAAAAAGGUUUCUCAUUGACAGAUUAAGAGCAAAAUAAUUGCUUAAAUUUAUAAGACAACCAGAACCUACCAAACCUGCAGCUAGUAAAAAAACUGUUUGUGCUAUAGUGAAUGUAGGAUGUUCUGUUCUGUAUUUGGACUAAAGGAUAUGUAUUAAAUUUUGUGAAAGAAAUA
This is a long non-coding RNA of Ruditapes philippinarum (Manila clam), 1286 nucleotides long. RefSeq lists it as uncharacterized. The record is from RefSeq and is a predicted model, not a curated record. NCBI's taxonomy places the organism in Eukaryota, Metazoa, Mollusca, Bivalvia, Venerida, Veneridae. The transcript is spliced from 2 exons.